This 478-nucleotide ribosomal RNA is filed under the name uncultured bacterium. RNAcentral describes it as "partial 16S ribosomal RNA". It matches the Rfam family "Bacterial small subunit ribosomal RNA", at positions 28 to 507 of the family's 1533-position model. The record is from RNAcentral.
GACGAACGCUGGCGGCGUGCUUAACACAUGCAAGUCGAACGGGAUUUAGUAGACAGAAGCCUCGGCUAAAGAUUACUAAUGAGAGUGGCGAACGGGUGAUUAACGCGUGAGCAACCUGCCUAUGACAGUGGGAUAGCCUCGGGAAACCGGGAUUAAUACCGCAUAAAAUCGUAGAAACACAUGUUUUAACGGUCAAAGAUUUAUCGGUCAUAGAUGGGCUCGCGUCUGAUUAGCUAGUUGGUGAGAUAACAGCCCACCAAGGCGACGAUCAGUAGCCGGGCUGAGAGGAUGAACGGACACAUUGGAACUGGGACACGGUCCAAACUCCUACGGGAGGCAGCAGUGGGGAAUAUUGCACAAUGGGGGAAACCCUGAUGCAGCGACGCCGCGUAAACGAAGAAGGUAUUCGUAUCGUAAAGUUCUGUCAUAUGGGAAGAUAAUGACAGUACCAUAGAAGAAAGCUCCGGCUAAAUACGUG